RNAcentral lists this ribosomal RNA (433 nucleotides) under uncultured bacterium. RNAcentral's name for it is "bacterial SSU rRNA". It matches the Rfam family "Bacterial small subunit ribosomal RNA", at positions 34 to 492 of the family's 1533-position model. The record is from RNAcentral.
GAAUUCACUAGUGAUUCAGGCCUAACACAUGCAAGUCGAGCGAACCCUUCGGGGUGAGCGGCGAACGGGUGAGUAACGCGUGGGUAACCUGCCCUGUACACACGGAUAACAUACCGAAAGGUAUGCUAAUACGAGAUAACAUGUAAUGAUCGCAUGGUCGAUACAUCAAAGCUCUGGCGGUACAGGAUGGACCCGCGUCUGAUUAGCUAGUUGGUGAGGUAAUGGCUCACCAAGGCGACGAUCAGUAGCCGACCUGAGAGGGUGAUCGGCCACAUUGGAACUGAGACACGGUCCAAACUCCUACGGGAGGCAGCAGUGGGGAAUAUUGCACGAUGGGCGAAAGCCUGAUGCAGCAACGCCGCGUGAUCAAAGGAGGCCUUCGGGUCGUAAAGCUCUGUCCUCAAGGAAGAUAAUGACGGUACUGAGAGAAGCC